RNAcentral lists this ribosomal RNA (427 nucleotides) under uncultured bacterium. RNAcentral's name for it is "partial 16S ribosomal RNA". It matches the Rfam family "Bacterial small subunit ribosomal RNA", at positions 354 to 796 of the family's 1533-position model. The record is from RNAcentral.
GUGGGGAAUAUUGGGCAAUGGGGGCAACCCUGACCCAGCGACGCCGCGUGGGUGAAGAAAUCCCUCGGGAUGUAAAGCCCUGUUGUAUGGGAAGAGCAGAAGACGGUACCAUACGAGGAAGCCCCGGCAAACUACGUGCCAGCAGCCGCGGUAAUACGUAGGGGGCAAGCGUUGUCCGGAAUUACUGGGCGUAAAGCGCACGCAGGCUGAAUUAUAAGUCGGUAGUCAAAUACGGAGGCUCAACUUCCGGAUAUCUAUCGAUACUGUAAAUCUAGAGUAUGUGAGAGGGAAGCGGAAUUCCCGUUGUAGCGGUGAAAUGCGUAGAUAUCGGGAGGAACACCAGUGGCGAAGGCGGCUUCCUGGCACAAUACUGACGCUCAUGUGCGAAAGCUAGGGCAGCGAACGGGAUUAGAAACCCCGGUAGUCC